This 253-nucleotide ribosomal RNA is filed under the name uncultured bacterium. RNAcentral describes it as "partial 16S ribosomal RNA". It matches the Rfam family "Bacterial small subunit ribosomal RNA", at positions 524 to 776 of the family's 1533-position model. The record is from RNAcentral.
UACGUAGGGUGCAAGCGUUAUCCGGAAUUAUUGGGCGUAAAGAGCUCGUAGGCGGUUUGUCGCGUCUGCUGUGAAAACCCGAGGCCCAACCUCGGGCCUGCAGUGGGUACGGGCAGACUAGAGUGCGGUAGGGGAGAUUGGAAUUCCUGGUGUAGCGGUGGAAUGCGCAGAUAUCAGGAGGAACACCGAUGGCGAAGGCAGAUCUCUGGGCCGUAACUGACGCUGAGGAGCGAAAGCGUGGGGAGCGAACAGG